RNAcentral lists this ribosomal RNA (200 nucleotides) under Escherichia coli IS25. RNAcentral describes it as "Large Subunit Ribosomal RNA; lsuRNA; LSU rRNA". It matches the Rfam family "Bacterial large subunit ribosomal RNA", at positions 2751 to 2925 of the family's 2925-position model. Lineage: Bacteria; Pseudomonadati; Pseudomonadota; Gammaproteobacteria; Enterobacterales; Enterobacteriaceae. The record is from RNAcentral.
AAAUGCGGAAGAGAUAAGUGCUGAAAGCAUCUAAGCACGAAACUUGCCCCGAGAUGAGUUCUCCCUGACUCCUUGAGAGUCCUGAAGGAACGUUGAAGACGACGACGUUGAUAGGCCGGGUGUGUAAGCGCAGCGAUGCGUUGAGCUAACCGGUACUAAUGAACCGUGAGGCUUAACCUUACAACGCCGAAGGUGUUUUG